Molecule: ribosomal RNA, 465 nt
Filed under: uncultured bacterium
Lineage: Bacteria
Description: partial 16S ribosomal RNA
Rfam family: Bacterial small subunit ribosomal RNA
Source: RNAcentral
GACGAACGCUGGCGGCGUGCUUAACACAUGCAAGUCGAACGGAAAGGCCCCUUUGGGGGUCCUCGAGUGGCGAACGGGUGAGUAACACGUGAGUAACCUGCCCUUGACUUCGGGAUAACUUCAGGAAACUGGGGCUAAUACCGGAUAGGAAUCCUUGCUGCAUGGUGGGGGUUGGAAAGCUUCGGCGGUUUUGGAUGGACUCGCGGCUUAUCAGCUUGUUGGUGGGGUAGUGGCUUACCAAGGCUUUGACGGGUAGCCGGCCUGGGAGGGCGACCGGCCACAUUGGGACUGAGGUACGGCCCAGACUCCUACGGGAGGCAGCAGUGGGGAAUAUUGCACAAUGGGCGGAAGCCUGAUGCAGCAACGCCGCGUGCGGGAUGACGGCCUUCGGGUUGUAAACCGCUUUCAGCAGGGGCGAAGCUUGUGGUGACGGUACCUGCAGAAGAAGCACCGGCUAACUACGUG